CCCAGCCGUAGGCAAUGGCUUAGGUUGUCUUGUACCUAGGCAAGUAUUACACAGCUGGGAGAAAAGCAGUGAACAGCUGUCAGGCAUCCUGAGUCUAGUUAAUGCCAAAUU
Molecule: small nucleolar RNA, 111 nt
Filed under: Ochotona princeps (American pika)
Lineage: Eukaryota; Metazoa; Chordata; Mammalia; Lagomorpha; Ochotonidae
Description: Small nucleolar RNA SNORA74 (ENSOPRG00000022270.1)
Source: RNAcentral